Molecule: long non-coding RNA, 2261 nt
Organism: Anopheles funestus (African malaria mosquito)
Lineage: Eukaryota; Metazoa; Arthropoda; Insecta; Diptera; Culicidae
Exons: 5
Source: RefSeq, a predicted model, not a curated record
UAAAUUCGCGUUAAAUUAUAGCACAUUUAAAAAUUUUGCUGAAUUGCAGAAAAAUGAGGAAAAUUUUACAUUUUAUCAAACAGGGUAAGGAACUUGGUUGCUCGAAUAACUUCUGGCACAGACAUCUGAGGGCAUGGCCGUCCAAGAAGAAAAUGUAGCCAUUGGUGCCAUCUAUCGACCACAGGUUAAAGAUUGGCGAUCCGUUGGAUACCGACCGAGUUAUAGGCAAAAUUUGGUGCAAAAAUGAGGAAAAUUUUACAUUUUCUCAAACAGGGUAAGGAACUUGGUUGCUCGAAUAACUUCUGGCACAGACAUCUGAGGGCAUGGCCGUCCAAGAAGAAAAUGUAGCCAUUGGUGCCAUCUAUCGACCACAGGUUAAAGAUUGGCGAUCCGUUGGAUACCGACCGAGUUAUAGGCAAAAUUUGGUGCAAAAAUGAGCCUUAUGAAAUUUUCUAAUUUUUCUAAUUUUUUAAUUUUUUUAUUAUUUUUUACCCUUUUUUUAUUUAAAGCAUUACUUGAGUGAAAAGAAACCCAUUGCAACCAAUUGGCAUUAAAAUAAAUCAAUUUCAUUUUUUUGCAAAAUUUUUCAAAAAAAACGUAAGGGGUAAGCCUUAUGAAAUUUUCGAGUGAAAAUUUUUUUUGAAAUUUUUUUCUGAUUUUUUAUUCUUUUUUUUAUUUAAAGCAUUAUUUGAGUAAAAAGAAACUUAUUGCAACAAAUUCGCGUUAAAUUGAAGCACAUUUAAAAAUUUUGCUGAAUUGCAGAAAAAUGAGGAAAAUUUUACAUUUUAUCAAACAGGGUAAGGAACUUGGUUGCUCGAAUAACUUCUGGCACAGACAUCUGAGGGCAUGGCCGUCCAAGAAGAAAAUGUAGCCAUUGUUGCCAUCUAUCGACCACAGGUUAAAGAUUGACGAUCCGUUGGAUACCGACCGAGUUAUAGACAAAAAUUGGUGCAAAAAUGAGCCUUAUGAAAUUUUCUAAUUUUUCUAAUUUUUUAAUUUUUUUAUUAUUUUUCACUCUUUUUUUUAUUUAAAGCAUUAUUUGAGUGAAAAGAAACCCAUUGCAACCAAUUGGCAUUAAAAUAAAUCAAUUUCAUUUUUUUGCAAAAUUUUUCAAAAAAAACGUAAGGGGUAAGCCUUAUGAAAUUUUCGAGUGAAAAUUUUUUUUUGAAAUUUUUUUCUGAUUUUUUAUUCUUUUUUUUAUUUAAAGCAUUAUUUGAGUAAAAAGAAACUUAUUGCAACAAAUUCGCGUUAAAUUAAAGCACAUUUAAAAAUUUUGCUGAAUUGCAGAAAAAUGAGGAAAAUUUUACAUUUUAUCAAACAGGGUAAGGAACUUGGUUGCUCGAAUAACUUCUGGCACAGACAUCUGAGGGCAUGGCCGUCCAAGAAGAAAAUGUAGCCAUUGGUGCCAUCUAUCGACCACAGGUUAAAGAUUGACGAUCCGUUGGAUACCGACCGAGUUAUAGGCAAAAUUUGGUGCAAAAAUGAGCCUUAUGAAAUUUUCUAAUUUUUCUAAUUUUUUAAUUUUUUUAUUUUUUUUCACUCUUUUUUUUAUUUAAAGCAUUACUUGAGUGAAAAGAAACCCAUUGCAACCAAUUGGCAUUAAAAUAAAUCAAUUUCAUUUUUUUGCAAAAUUUUUCAAAAAAAACGUAAGGGGUAAGCCUUAUGAAAUUUUCGAGUGAAAAUUUUUUUUGAAAUUUUUUUCUGAUUUUUUAUUCUUUUUUUUAUUUAAAGCAUUAUUUGAGUAAAAAGAAACUUAUUGCAACAAAUUCGCGUUAAAUUAAAGCACAUUUAAAAAUUUUGCUGAAUUGCAGAAAAAUGAGGAAAAUUUUACAUUUUAUCAAACAGGGUAAGGAACUUGGUUGCUCGAAUAACUUCUGGCACAGACAUCUGAGGGCAUGGCAGUCCAAGAAGAAAAUGUAGCCAUUGGUGCCAUCUAUCGACCACAGGUUAAAGAUUGACGAUCCGUUGGAUACCGACCGAGUUAUAGACAAAAAUUGGUGCAAAAAUGAGCCUUAUGAAAUUUUCUAAUUUUUCUAAUUUUUUAAUUUUUUUAUUAUUUUUCACUCUUUUUUUUAUUUAAAGCAUUACUUGAGUGAAAAGAAACCCAUUGCAACCAAUUGGCAUUAAAAUAAAUCAAUUUCAUUUUUUGCAAAAUUUUUCAAAAAAAACGUAAGGGGUAAGCCUUAUGAAAUUUUCGAGUGAAAAUUUUUUAGAAAUUUUUUUCUGAUUUUUUAUUCUUUUUUUUAUUUAAAGCAUUAUUU